Long non-coding RNA from Gallus gallus (chicken), 593 nucleotides. NCBI's taxonomy places the organism in Eukaryota, Metazoa, Chordata, Aves, Galliformes, Phasianidae. The record is from Ensembl.
GGAAACUUUGUGCUCAGUAGCAUCUGUUAUAUAAAGAACACUUGAGCCCUAACAGGCGAGCUGGAUCUGCAGUACUGAGAGAGAGAGAGAGAGAGAGAGAUCCAAUUGUUUUCAUUUCUUUGUUUCCAGAAUAUGCUGGUACUGUCCACCAUCCUGAACCAAAGGCAUUAAAGCUGGCAGAAAAGAAUAUUAAUGGCGAUGAUAAAACCAUGUCACAGAAACGUGGUGGCUCUGUGGGGCAUAAAUUCAUGCAAAAGCACUUUCUGAAGCUGCUGUAGGCUGACAGUGUGCUCCCCCCACACACACUGCAUCUUUGAUUUCAUCAGCAACAAAAGAACAGCCAGCCGGCUCUGCAAGCAAGGUACACUGAGCGUAACAAACCUGACGAGAGAGUGGCUGGCACAACUAGCACAUCUUUACACCCUUCUUGACAACGCAUGGCUGAAGAGGUACCCUUACUGCUCCUGCUAAGGAACAAAGCACAGCGUGAACUUGGCCUUUACAAGACAUCAGAGACUCUACCCAGCAGCUCCAUCUGAAGGGUCCUCAGUUCAUUUUGUCCUCCUCUCACUGGAUUUUGCUCUAAACAAGCG